RNAcentral lists this ribosomal RNA (520 nucleotides) under uncultured Glomus. Its description in RNAcentral is "SSU rRNA". It matches the Rfam family "Eukaryotic small subunit ribosomal RNA", at positions 569 to 1089 of the family's 1831-position model. The record is from RNAcentral. Lineage: Eukaryota; Fungi; Glomeromycota; Glomeromycetes; Glomerales; Glomeraceae.
AGCAGCCGCGGUAAUUCCAGCUCCAAUAGCGUAUAUUAAAGUUGUUGCAGUUAAAAAGCUCGUAGUUGAAUUUCGGGGUCAGUAGGUUGGUCGUGCCACUGGUAUGUACUGGCCUCACUGAUUCCUCCUUCCUGAUGAACCGUAAUGCCAUUAAUUUGGUGUUGCGGGGAAUCUGGACUGUUACUUUGAAAAAAUUGAGUGUUUAAAGCAGGCUAACGCUUGAAUACAUUAGCAUGGAAUAAUGGAAUAGGACGUUCGAUCCUAUUUUGUUGGUUUCUAGGAUUGACGUAAUGAUUAAUAGGGAUAGUUGGGGGCAUUAGUAUUCAAUUGUCAGAGGUGAAAUUCUUGGAUUUAUUGAAGACUAACUACUGCGAAAGCAUUUGCCAAGGAUGUUUUCAUUAAUCAAGAACGAAAGUUAGGGAUCGAAGACGAUCAGAUACCGUCGUAGUCUUAACCAUAAACUAUAGACCGUACUAGGGAUCGGAUGAUGUUAAUUUUUAUGUACUCUAUUCGGCGCCUU